Molecule: ribosomal RNA, 688 nt
Filed under: uncultured Eubacteriales bacterium
Lineage: Bacteria; Bacillati; Bacillota; Clostridia; Eubacteriales
Description: bacterial SSU rRNA
Rfam family: Bacterial small subunit ribosomal RNA
Source: RNAcentral
UCGGAAUGAAAAUAAUUGGAUUAGUGGCGGACGGGUGAGUAACACGUGAGUAACCUGCCUUACACAAGGGGAUAGCCGUUGGAAACGACGAAUAAUACCCUAUGAAACUAUCACUUCGCAUGAAGCGAUAGUCAAAGUGUUAGCGGUGUAAGAUGGACUUGCGUCUGAUUAGCUAGUUGGUGAGAAAAAAGCCCACCAAGGCAACGAUCAGUAGCCGGCUUGAGAGAGUGUACGGCCACAUUGGGACUGAGACACGGCCCAGACUCCUACGGGAGGCAGCAGUGGGGAAUUUUGCACAAUGGGGGAAACCCUGAUGCAGCGACGCCGCGUGAUUUAGAAGGCCUUCGGGUUGUAAAAAUCUUUUGUAUAGGAAGAAAAUGACAGUACUAUACGAAUAAGGUCCGGCUAAUUACGUGCCAGCAGCCGCGGUAAUACGUAAGGACCGAGCGUUGUCCGGAAUCAUUGGGCGUAAAGGGUACGUAGGCGGGUCACUAAGUUAGAAGUCAAAGGCUAUAGCUCAACUAUAGUAAGCUUCUAAAACUGGAGACCUUGAGUAAUGGAAGGGAAAGUGGAAUUCCUAGUGUAGCGGUGGAAUGCGCAGAUAUUAGGAGGAAUACCGGUGGCGAAGGCGACUUUCUGGCCAUUAACUGACGCUGAGGUACGAAAGCGUGGGUAGCAAACAGGAUUA